Molecule: ribosomal RNA, 441 nt
Filed under: uncultured bacterium
Lineage: Bacteria
Description: partial 16S ribosomal RNA
Rfam family: Bacterial small subunit ribosomal RNA
Source: RNAcentral
GCUACGGGAGGCAGCAGUGGGGAAUAUUGCGCAAUGGGGGAAACCCUGACGCAGCAACGCCGCGUGAGUGAGGAAGUAUCUCGGUAUGUAAAGCUCUAUCAGCGGGGAAGAAAGAGGACGGUACCCGACUAAGAAGCCCCGGCUAACUACGUGCCAGCAGCCGCGGUAAUACGUAGGGGGCGAGCGUUAUCCGGAUUUACUGGGUGGAAAGGGAGCGUAGGCCGGUCUUUAAGCGUGCCGUGAAAUUUUGUGGCUCAACCAUGAGAGUGCGGCGCGAAAUGGAGACCUUGAGUGCGCGGAAGGCAGGCGGAAUUCGUGGUGUAGCGGUGAAAUGCUUAGAUAUCACGAAGAACCCCGAUUGCGAAGGCAGCCUGCCGCAGCGUUACUGACGCUGAAGCUCGAAAGCGCGGGUAUCGAACAGGAUUAGAUACCCGGGUAGUC